CUUGCUACAGGUUGGACAUAUACUAAGUGAAGGUAGUGAGGGCCCUGCUUAAAGGAAUUUACAUUCCUCAUCGAGAUGAUAAUCUAAAUAGUACAACCUACAGUUACCUUUUAAUUAACAUUUAAACCACUGUUUUACUGAACAUUGUUUAUAGUUUAUAACUUUUACAUGGAACUUACUCAAUGUAUGAAACCAAUAAGAAACAUGACAAGUCUUUCUCUUCAAUAAAAACAAGGUGGUAAAAUAUAAAACGUCUAGAAGGGAAUGUUCACUAAAUUGAGAAUUCAACAGGAAUUUCAGGUUUUAGGCCCAACUAACAGAAAACAAAACAGCUGGUUUGGAAAAAUUUUAAAUUUUUAGCAAUCUAACCUAAACUUUGAAAUUCACUCAGAAUUUGCAACAAUGCAAGAGGUAAGCAUUAUGGGAGAUGUAGUCCACAACAUUUGAAGUGCCGAAGAUCACCUUACCAUGCUUUAUUGAAAGACCAUGAUAAAAG
Molecule: non-coding RNA, 496 nt
Organism: Pelobates cultripes (western spadefoot toad)
Lineage: Eukaryota; Metazoa; Chordata; Amphibia; Anura; Pelobatidae
Source: the annotation of a GenBank genome assembly